GUCCCUAUAGUAUAGAGGCCAAGAAUCUUUGGUGGUCAGCCAUUGGACCCGGGUUCGACUCCCGGUGGGGACG
This 73-nucleotide transfer RNA is filed under the name Methanobrevibacter sp. RNAcentral describes it as "tRNA-OTHER". It matches the Rfam family "tRNA". Rfam says of the family: Transfer RNA (tRNA) molecules are approximately 80 nucleotides in length. The record is from RNAcentral. Lineage: Archaea; Methanobacteriati; Methanobacteriota; Methanobacteria; Methanobacteriales; Methanobacteriaceae.